GAAGUGCGAUAAGUGUCAUGACUUGCAGAUUCUCGAGAGUUGACAAAUUUCUGAAUGCAAAUGGCGGCCAACUUGGUUGGUCAUGUAUUGCAGAGUGUAGUUGUUCAUACUCAUCAUCCUCCUUGAUAUUAUAUGUUUGGGAGGGAUCUGCGCUUGUUGGAUUACUCCACGCGAGCGUGAAAAUUCAGAGUGGAUGCCCUCUCAUUCAAUUGAGAAGGCGUCCAACUUCGGAGUUUCUUAGAAGUUCACUGUACUCUGUCUUCUUUAAAUAUUCACCUCUGCAAUGCAGGAAAACCCGCUGAACUUAA
Molecule: unclassified non-coding RNA, 308 nt
Filed under: uncultured fungus
Lineage: Eukaryota; Fungi
Description: sequence contains ITS1
Rfam family: 5.8S ribosomal RNA (bases 1-100)
Source: RNAcentral